RNAcentral lists this ribosomal RNA (497 nucleotides) under uncultured bacterium. RNAcentral describes it as "partial 16S ribosomal RNA". It matches the Rfam family "Bacterial small subunit ribosomal RNA", at positions 28 to 507 of the family's 1533-position model. The record is from RNAcentral.
GAUGAACGCUGGCGGCGUGCCUAAUACAUGCAAGUCGAGCGAACAGACGAGGAGCUUGCUCCUCUGACGUUAGCGGCGGACGGGUGAGUAACACGUGGAUAACCUACCUAUAAGACUGGGAUAACUUCGGGAAACCGGAGCUAAUACCGGAUAAUAUAUUGAACCGCAUGGUUCAAUAGUGAAAGACGGUUUUGCUGUCACUUAUAGCUGGAUCCGCGCCGCAUUAGCUAGUUGGUAAGGUAACGGCUUACCAAGGCAACGAUGCGUAGCCGACCUGAGAGGGGGAUCGGCCACACUGGAACUGAGACACGGUCCAGACUCCUACGGGAGGCAGCAGUAGGGAAUCUUCCGCAAUGGGCGAAAGCUUGACGGAGCAACGCCGCGUGAGUGAUGAAGGUCUUCGGAGCGUAAAGCUCUGUUAUUAGGGAAGAACCAAUGUGGAAGUAACUAUGCACGUCUUGACGGUACCUAAUCAGAAAGCCACGGCUAACUACGUG